AGCGGGGUAGAGUAAUGGUCAACUCAUCAGGCUCAUGCCCUGAAGAUCCAGGUUCGAAUCCAGGUCCCGCCU
RNAcentral lists this transfer RNA (72 nucleotides) under Calophyllum soulattri. RNAcentral's name for it is "tRNA-Met". It matches the Rfam family "tRNA". Rfam says of the family: Transfer RNA (tRNA) molecules are approximately 80 nucleotides in length. Their secondary structure includes four short double-helical elements and three loops (D, anti-codon, and T loops). The record is from RNAcentral. Lineage: Eukaryota; Viridiplantae; Streptophyta; Magnoliopsida; Malpighiales; Calophyllaceae.